CAGAAGGAACCAUACCAUCAUUGUAAGGUCUGUUGAAGUCCCCGGUGGAAAGACAAAGCUGUAACCUAUGAACACACUGGCGUCCUGAACUCCGUUGCGGCAUGAAGCUUUUGUAUGAGCAUCAUUUGAAAAAUAGAAGAUGAAGUCACGACAACUGUGGAGUGCUGCAGAAUUGCACUCCUACUUCUGGGAGUUUCCUUUGUCUAUGAUCAUCUACCUGCAGCAGCAACGCCCCGUCUAGCACCUGUGCACUUCCAUGAAUUGUGAACUUCACUAUUACAGCAGAUUGAUUGCGCACCUGGGUCAGUGCGGGUCCGUGCACAGAAUUUGUAGUCCAGUAGAGCCGGUCUCCUCCCUGCUUGCACAUACAGACUGGGACCUAACUACCUAAUGGGAGGACCUUCUGAUGUCACCU
This is a long non-coding RNA of Hyla sarda, 415 nucleotides long. RefSeq lists it as uncharacterized. Lineage: Eukaryota; Metazoa; Chordata; Amphibia; Anura; Hylidae. The record is from RefSeq and is a predicted model, not a curated record. The transcript is spliced from 3 exons.